Molecule: non-coding RNA, 73 nt
Filed under: Palpitomonas bilix
Lineage: Eukaryota
Source: RNAcentral
ACUACCCAAACAAACAUCUCAAAUUCUGGUUUCCUGUAAGGCGAUUUUCCCAUUUCUAACCAAACACAAGAAA